RNAcentral lists this transfer RNA (92 nucleotides) under Mycolicibacterium aubagnense. RNAcentral describes it as "tRNA-Asp". Lineage: Bacteria; Bacillati; Actinomycetota; Actinomycetes; Mycobacteriales; Mycobacteriaceae. The record is from RNAcentral.
GGCGGCCGAGGGCAUGCCCGGGGGCGGCGGCGGUGUCAGUGCCGGCACGCCGGGUGGUCUCGGCGCGGCGGUUCCGGGCAGCCCGGCCGCCG